This 253-nucleotide ribosomal RNA is filed under the name uncultured bacterium. Its description in RNAcentral is "partial 16S ribosomal RNA". It matches the Rfam family "Bacterial small subunit ribosomal RNA", at positions 524 to 776 of the family's 1533-position model. The record is from RNAcentral.
UACAGAGGGUGCAAGCGUUAAUCGGAGUUACUGGGCGUAAAGGGCGCGUAGGCGGUUUAAUAAGAUUGAUGUGAAAUCCCUGGGCUUAACCUAGGAACUGCAUCGAUGACUGUUAAGCUAGAGUAUUGUAGAGGGUAGUGGAAUUUCCGGUGUAGCGGUGAAAUGCGUAGAGAUCGGAAGGAACACCAGUGGCGAAGGCGGCUACCUGGACAAAUACUGACGCUGAGGCGCGAGAGCGUGGGGAGCAAACAGG